CUCUGUAUUGCGUUGGAAACUGUGUAACUAGAGUACUGGAGAGGUAAGCGGAACUACAAGUGUAGAGGUGAAAUUCGUAGAUAUUUGUAGGAAUGCCGAUGGGGAAGCCAGCUUACUGGACAGAUACUGACGCUGAAGCGCGAAAGCGUGGGUAGCAAACAGG
Molecule: ribosomal RNA, 163 nt
Filed under: uncultured Fusobacterium sp.
Lineage: Bacteria; Fusobacteriati; Fusobacteriota; Fusobacteriia; Fusobacteriales; Fusobacteriaceae
Description: partial 16S ribosomal RNA
Rfam family: Bacterial small subunit ribosomal RNA
Source: RNAcentral